Macaca fascicularis (crab-eating macaque) is the source of this 298-nucleotide unclassified non-coding RNA. It matches the Rfam family "Metazoan signal recognition particle RNA". From Rfam's summary of the family: The signal recognition particle (SRP) is a universally conserved ribonucleoprotein. NCBI's taxonomy places the organism in Eukaryota, Metazoa, Chordata, Mammalia, Primates, Cercopithecidae. The record is from Ensembl.
ACCAGGCACUGUGGUGCAUGCCUGUAGUCCCAACUACUUGGGAGGCUGAGGCAGGAGAAUCACUUGAGCCCAGGAGUUCUGGAUCAUAGUGCCCUAUGCCAAUUGGAUGUCCACACUAAGUUCAGCAUCAAUAUGAUAACCUCCUGGGAGUGGGGUCCACCAGUUGCUGAAGGAGGGGUGAACUGGCCCAGGUCAGAAAUGGAGCAAGUCAAAAUUCCCAUUCUCAUCAAUAGUAGGAUCACACUUGUGAAUAGUUACUGCACCCCAGUCUGGACAACAUAGUGAGACCCUGUCUUGA